GUAACAAGGUUUCCGUAGGUGAACCUGCGGAAGGAUCAUUAGUGAAUUAUAGGACGUCCAAUUUAACUUGGAGUCCGAACUCUCACUUUCUAACCCUGUGCAUUUGUUUUGGUUAGUAGGAUGCUUGCGUCUGAACACCUCUUCAUUUUACAAACACUAAGUAUAAGAAUGUUUAAAUUUUAUAAUCAAAUAAAACUUUCAACAACGGAUCUCUUGGCUCUCGCAUCGAUGAAGAACGCAGCGAAAUGUGAUAAGUAAUGUGAAUUGCAGAAUUCAGUGAAUCAUCGAAUCUUUGAACGCAUCUUGCGCUCCCUGGUAUUCCGGGGAGCAUGUCUGUUUGAGUGUCAUGAAUUCUUCAACCCUUUCUUUUCCUAGUGAAUUGAGAGGUGUUUGGAUCCUGAGCGUUGCUCCUAACCCGAGCUCGUUCGUAAUACAUUAGCAUCCAUAUUCGAAUUUCGGAUUGACUUGGCGUAAUAGACUAUUCGCUGAGGAAUCUAACUUCGGUUAGAGCCGUUUUGAACUAGGAAGCUGCUAAUCUAGCUUAGUCUACCUUUAGAUUGAUCUCAAAUCAG
This 572-nucleotide ribosomal RNA is filed under the name Rhodosporidiobolus oreadorum. RNAcentral describes it as "eukaryotic LSU rRNA". The stretch from base 194 to 347 matches the Rfam family "5.8S ribosomal RNA". Lineage: Eukaryota; Fungi; Basidiomycota; Microbotryomycetes; Sporidiobolales; Sporidiobolaceae. The record is from RNAcentral.